AUGGGAUAUUUGCUCCUUGUAAUUUUUGCUGUAGCAUCUUUGAAAGGUGUCCGGUCCCAGGUGCAGCUGGUGGAGUCCGGAGGGGAUGUGAAAAAGCCUGGAGACUCUCUCCGCCUCGCCUGCAAAGCCUCCGGGUUCACCUUCAGCAGCUACCAGAUGGACUGGGUCCGACAGGCUCCUGGCAAGGGACUAGAAUGGGUCGCUUUUAUAAACACCGGUGGGGGUACUGUAUAUUACCCCGAUUCAGUGAAAGGCCGAUUCACCAUCUCCCGGGAUAAUUCCAAGAGUGAGCUGUAUCUGCAAAUGACCGGCCUGAAGCCCGAGGACACCGCCCGCUAUUACUGUGCGAGAGACACAGUGAAACAAAACCAAUUUGUGAUCAUACAAAAACCCAGGCUGCGGAAUCGCCCUUCUCCCGGCAGCCGCACGGGGGCAGCAGCUUCGGGCUCGGACAGGAGACCCGGCAACCAGGUGAAUGUAACACAAACUUCCUGUCAGUGA
This is a non-coding RNA of Terrapene triunguis (Three-toed box turtle), 501 nucleotides long. NCBI's taxonomy places the organism in Eukaryota, Metazoa, Chordata, Testudines, Emydidae. The record is from the annotation of a RefSeq genome assembly.